This 737-nucleotide ribosomal RNA is filed under the name uncultured bacterium. RNAcentral describes it as "bacterial SSU rRNA". It matches the Rfam family "Bacterial small subunit ribosomal RNA", at positions 8 to 752 of the family's 1533-position model. The record is from RNAcentral.
AGAGUUUGAUCAUGGCUCAGAACGAACGCUGGCGGCGUGGAUAAGACAUGCAAGUCGAACGGGAUUUCAUUUGUAGCAAUACCGAUGAAAUCUAGUGGCGAACGGGUGCGUAACACGUGAGCAAUCUGCCGGGAAGUGGGGGAUAACUCGCCGAAAGGCGAAUUAAUACCGCAUAUGGCCAGGAAGGACAUCCUUCCGAAGCCAAAGUCGCAAGACGCUUCCUGAUGAGCUCGCGGCCUAUCAGCUAGUUGGUGAGGUAAUGGCUCACCAAGGCUAUGACGGGUAGCUGGUCUGAGAGGACGACCAGCCACACUGGAACUGAGACACGGUCCAGACACCUACGGGCGGCAGCAGUCGAGAAUUUUUCACAAUGGGGGAAACCCUGAUGGAGCGACCCCCCGNGGAGGAUGAAGGUUUUCGGAUUGUAAAACUCCUGUCAUGUGGGGAACAAGAAAGUGAUAGUACCACAAGAGGAAGAAAACGGCUAACUCUGUGGCCGCAGCCGCGGUAAUACAGAGGUCUCAAGCGUUGUUCGGAUUUCAUUGGGCGUAAAGGGUGCCCAGGCUGUGGGGUAAGUCCGAUGCCAAAUUUUAAGGCUCCACCCCCUAACUGCUUUCGAUACUGCUCCGCUAGAAGGAUGUAAAGGAAAAUGGAAUCACCGGGUACAGUGAAAUGCGUNAAAAUCUGAGGAAAAACAGUGGCNAAGCNAAUCUCCGGGCAUUACCUGNCGCUCAUGC